This is a non-coding RNA of Podarcis lilfordi (Lilford's wall lizard), 76 nucleotides long. Lineage: Eukaryota; Metazoa; Chordata; Lepidosauria; Squamata; Lacertidae. The record is from the annotation of a GenBank genome assembly.
GGAAUCUAUAGCUCAGUGGCAGAACACCUGCUUGGCAUGCAGAAGGUCUGUGGUUCAAUCCCCAGGGGUGUCUCCU